This 406-nucleotide ribosomal RNA is filed under the name uncultured bacterium. RNAcentral describes it as "partial 16S ribosomal RNA". It matches the Rfam family "Bacterial small subunit ribosomal RNA", at positions 30 to 526 of the family's 1533-position model. The record is from RNAcentral.
AUUGAACGCUGGCGGCAGGCCUAACACAUGCAAGUCGAGCGAGCGGCGGACGGGUGAGUAAUGUAUGGGGACCUGCCCGAGAGAGGGGGAUAACUACUGGAAACGGUGGCUAAUACCGCAUACUAUCGGAUGUGCCCAGAUGGGAUUAGCUAGUUGGUGGGGUAAAGGCUCACCUAGGCGACGAUCUCUAGCUGGUCUGAGAGGAUGAACAGCCACACUGGAACUUAGACACGGUCCAGACUCCUACGGGAGGCAGCAGUGGGGAAUAUUGCACAAUGGGCGCAAGCCUGAUGCAGCCAUGCCGCGUGUAUGAAGAAGGCCUUCGGGUUGUAAAGUACUUUCAGCGGGGAGGCGUUACCCGCAGAAGAAGCACCGGCUAACUCCGUGCCAGCAGCCGCGGUAAUUC